This 76-nucleotide transfer RNA is filed under the name Candidatus Berkelbacteria bacterium CG10_big_fil_rev_8_21_14_0_10_41_12. RNAcentral describes it as "tRNA-Ala". It matches the Rfam family "tRNA". Rfam says of the family: Transfer RNA (tRNA) molecules are approximately 80 nucleotides in length. Their secondary structure includes four short double-helical elements and three loops (D, anti-codon, and T loops). Lineage: Bacteria; Candidatus Berkelbacteria. The record is from RNAcentral.
GGGCCGGUAGCUCAGCUGGUAGAGCACUUCCAUGGCAUGGAAGGGGUCCGGGGUUCAAAUCCCCGUCGGUCCACCA